RNAcentral lists this ribosomal RNA (494 nucleotides) under uncultured bacterium. RNAcentral's name for it is "partial 16S ribosomal RNA". It matches the Rfam family "Bacterial small subunit ribosomal RNA", at positions 28 to 507 of the family's 1533-position model. The record is from RNAcentral.
GACGAACGCUGGCGGCGUGCUUAACACAUGCAAGUCGAACGGAAAGGCCUGCUUUCCCUUGUGGAUUGCGGGUGCUCGAGUCGCGAACGGGUGAGUAACACGUGAGUGAUCUGCCCCCAACUUGGGUAUAAGCCUGGGAAACUGGGUCUAAUUCCCGAUAGGACUGCAGGGUGGUGCCUGUGGUGGAAAACGAUUUUCUAGUGGUUGGGGAUGAGCUCGCGGCCUAUCAGCUUGUUGGUGGGGUAAUGGCCUACCAAGGCGGCGACGGGUAGCCGGCCUGAGAGGGUGGACGGCCACAUUGGGACUGAGAUACGGCCCAGACUCCUACGGGAGGCAGCAGUGGGGAAUAUUGCACAAUGGGCGGAAGCCUGAUGCAGCGACGCCGCGUGGGGGAUGACGGCCUUCGGGUUGUAAACUCCUUUCGACCGCGAGGAAGCCACCUGGUUGGAAGGGUGGUGACGGUAGUGGUAGAAGAAGCACCGGCUAACUACGUG